GUGGGGAAUUUUGGACAAUGGGCGCAAGCCUGAUCCAGCAAUGCCGCGUGUGUGAAGAAGGCCUUCGGGUUGUAAAGCACUUUUGUCCGGAAAGAAAUGGCCUGGGUUAAUACCCCGGGUCGAUGACGGUACCGGAAGAAUCAGCACCGGCUAACUACGUGCCAGCAGCCGCGGUAAUACGUAGGGUGCGAGCGUUAAUCGGAAUUACUGGGCGUAAAGCGUGCGCAGGCGGCGAUGCAAGACAGAUGUGAAAUCCCCGGGCUCAACCUGGGAACUGCAUUUGUGACUGCAUGGCUAGAGGGCGUCAGAGGGGGGUGGAAUUCCGCGUGUAGCAGUGAAAUGCGUAGAGAUGCGGAGGAACACCGAUGGCGAAGGCAGCCCCCUGGGAUGACACUGACGCUCAUGCACGAAAGCGUGGGGAGCAAACAGGAUUAGAUACCCCGGUAGUCC
Molecule: ribosomal RNA, 450 nt
Filed under: uncultured bacterium
Lineage: Bacteria
Description: partial 16S ribosomal RNA
Rfam family: Bacterial small subunit ribosomal RNA
Source: RNAcentral